Long non-coding RNA from Malaya genurostris, 3220 nucleotides. RefSeq lists it as uncharacterized. The record is from RefSeq and is a predicted model, not a curated record. The transcript is spliced from 3 exons. NCBI's taxonomy places the organism in Eukaryota, Metazoa, Arthropoda, Insecta, Diptera, Culicidae.
GCUCCGCAAAUUUGAAGGACGAAUUUAUGUACCGUGCCGGCUUUCCGCCACCCACCGUCAUUGGGAGGUGACAUUGCAUUGCAAAUGGUGAGCAGCUGGACAGUACAUUUUUUUGUCGAGUCAACAAAAUACAUUUUGUGAAAUGACCUUCGGUUGCAAAAUGAUUACUGCAUAUGCUUGGCCCGGUUUGGCACAUCGCGAAGCUCGUGAUACAUUCCCAUCAGACAAAUUGUCCCUCUGGGAAUGUAAUACUGCGAAGCAUACGCAUCAUAACAUUACCUAGGAGGAAGAAUCAAACCCAGCUAGACUACAAACAAGUUAAAUUAUUUGGUCAUCUUCAAAUCAUGAUGAUAUUUGAAAAAAAUAUAAACUCUUAUCUUAACGGAGGGAGACAGUCUCAAGACACUUUUCGAAGAGGUGCUAGACUGCCAAACAGAUAAAAGAAUUACAGAGUGAUAAGUGAUGAAACCAACAAUAUUGUAGGUCUAUUUUGUGAAUAAGAAGCAAACACCUUUAAAACGUGAAACGUGGAAAGGAAUUGUGUGGUGAAUGAAUCGGGAAAAUAGCACGAAACAAAAAGGAACAAGUUGUUCUGCACCCCAAAAAGAAUGCUGAACAAUCAUUUAAUAAAACCUCCAACUCCGAGAGGAUUUAGAGAUUUUACAAAAGCGACGCCAUUCUGCAUUCCCGCAAGAAUGCAGAACGAUUCGCAACGUGUAUGAGCAGAAGUAAAUUCGGCACACCAUAAGGGAUGCCAAACAACAAUCUACUAAAACCUUUUGAGGUAGAAACAUAAAGGAUUCAUUUACUCCAGGAAAAACGAUGAGCCCCGCUGACUAUAGCUCCUUACCACAUUGGGUGAGAAACGAUAGAAUAUCCUUUAAAUUUAGCUCCACGUACACAAAUUCAACCAUACUUGGAGAACCAGAAACCCGAAUAGGUAGUUGCGUCAAUGCGGGACAGUUAAAUAUAAGAUGAUAUGAAGUACUGUAAUCGGAUUCACACAAAUAAUAUUCAGCACACUGAAUAAUAGCCAUGUGCUAGUUGAGUUUGCAAUGUCCAGUCAAAGCUCUGACCAGAAUACACUAAGGUCUCUUUUUACACGGGGGUUACGUAUUAGAACGUACAAAUAGAGCUUGCGAGCAAGUUCUUUUCAAUUCCGAAGGUGCGAUGUGCAGUAAACAUUAACGAUCUUAAUAGUCAUUUUCAACUAAACUGAGGGGGAAGACAUGGAUAUUGGAUGAAGAUCUAUGCACGCAGCGACAGAAUUAAAGAAAAAGAGGAGAUGAAUACGGAUCAAAUUAAAAAAGGUAUUACUAUGUGUCAUGUUGAAGCAACUUAUUUCAUCGCCGUAAAUCAUAAUACUUCUAUAUCAUUCAAAUGGGUAUAAAAUACUGUACUGCUCGAUACGAUGAAUAAUUGAAGAGAUUAGUAAAUCCGACUUCAACGCUGCGAAAUUCUCGAUGAUAUCAAUGACGAUGAUGAUAUCAUAUACCACAACUGAGCGGAAGAGACGUUGUCGUGUAGUUUACGACGGGGAUUCAAGAUCUGAAGACUGCUUAAUCAUUUUAUCGAACGACAGUCAAUACUCCUGUGAAUUGUUGAAUGAAUGAUUUAAGUUAACUUUCAAACUUUAAAUUAGCUCUCAUAAUUGUUUUCUUACAGACAACAUGUUCCCUUUUUUUAAAUUUUUCUCAAAAAACAAAUGACAGUGCAUUUUUAACUCUCAUCAGAAACCGUGUUAAUUGCGAAUACCGCGUAAAUGUAAACCGUGUUAAUUUAAGAAUCCGUGUAGAAAAAAGCCGCGUAUAAAAAACCGUGCGAGAGGAAACCGUGUAAAAAGAGACCUUAGUGUACUGCAAUGUUGCUUGGAAAAAUACAGUAGACAUUUUGCUAUUCUCAAAUUCAAAUCUGGUAAAACUGCUGUUGUUAGAAAGCAAGUUUGCAAGCUCCGCCAAUAGCUGGCAUGUUUAGAUGUAGCCCAAGAACGAAUCUUGUGCUUUAUCCAAUUGUCAGUGGUAAAGCUGGUUCAGGACCAACGAAGUCAUUCGUUCCACCAGCUCUAGCCAGGAAUCAGUAAUCAGAGCCAAGGUAGCCAACUUAUCAGCCUAUUCAUUUCCAGUAAUACCAAAAUGGUCGGAUACUUACAAAAAGUAAGCAGUAUUUGAAAUGCUGAGGUCUUCAACUAGAUUCGAUCGUAAAUCAUUCGUCCUUCAAAGCUGCCGGCAAAAUUCGUUUCCCACAGAUUCUCUGUUGAAUGAGACUGCUCUAAGGAGUGUAACGAAAUUAAGCUAUCCACAUACUUUUGUGUUAUACGCAAGUAUUUGUGAUGGUUUUUUAUGCUCAGAUCGCAGCAUGCUGUGUGUUUGGCUGUCAGCUUUCGAUUCUUUACUUGUUUGUGCGGUUGAAAUUCUGCGUUUUCAAAAUGUCGCGUAUUGAAAAGGAAGUGGAAAUUAAAGUUCUGGGCACAUGGCUGAGUGAGAAGGGUAUUACUAUGCGAAAAUUGGCGAAGCGGUUUGAAAUUCAUCAUGCCAUUGUUAGAAACAUAAUUAAUAAGUUUGGGAAACAUUAUUCUUAGGAUGAGCUACCAGGAAGAGGCAGAAAACCCGGUUCUUCCAACCCGAAACUGGACAAGAAAGUUGUAUCUCUAAUCAUGAAGAACAAAUCAAUGUCAAUACGUGAUUUUGCCAAAACAGCAAGAACGAGUGUCGGAAUGGUCCAGCGUAUCAAGAGACGAAAUCACCUAAAGACCUACAAGAAGCAGAAAAUCUCGGAACAAAGUGUAAAACAGAAGAAGCAAGCAGCAACAAGGGCUCGGAAAUUGUAUUCGCGUCUUUUGCAGUGUCCGGAUGCAUGCGUUUUGAUGGACGAUGAGACUUAUGUAAAAGAGGACUCAAAAAAAAAACCCUUCCAGGUCCACAAUACUUUACUGUCAUCGUUGGGGAAAAUGUGAGCGAUGCGGACAGGUCGAUUCAAGGGGAGAAACUCGGUCGAAAGGUACUGGUAUGGCAAGCAAUAUGCUCCUAUGGUUUGAAGUCAACCAUUUUUACACUACCGGAACUAUAAAUGCAGAAUUCUAUCGAUCUGAGUAUUUCCAGAAGAGAUUGCUGCCUUUAUAUAAGAAGCAUAGUACACCUCCACUGUUUUGGCUGGAUUUGGCGUCGGCUCACUAUGUCAAAACCACUCUCAUUUGGCUUGUGGAAAAAGGUAUACAAGUUUA